UACGUAGGUGACCAGCGUUGUCCGGAUUUACUGGGCGUAAAGAGCGCGCAGGCGGUCGUUCAAGUCGAGUGUGAAAGCCCCCGGCUCAACUGGGGAGGGUCACUUGAUACUGAUCGACUCGAAGGCAGGAGAGGGAAGCGGAAUUCCCGGUGUAGUGGUGAAAUGCGCAGAUAUCAGGAAGAACACCCGUGGCGAAGGCGGCUUUCUGGGACGGUACUGACGCUGAGACGCGAAAGCGUGGGGAGCGAACAGG
This 253-nucleotide ribosomal RNA is filed under the name uncultured bacterium. RNAcentral's name for it is "partial 16S ribosomal RNA". It matches the Rfam family "Bacterial small subunit ribosomal RNA", at positions 524 to 776 of the family's 1533-position model. The record is from RNAcentral.